CUUUCUUUCUUUUUUUUUUUUUGAGAUCAGAAUGCUCUCUCCUUUGGCCCAGCUGCAGUUCAAUGGCAUGAUCUUGGCUCACUGCAACCUCUAACUCCCGGGUUCAAACAAUUCUCCUGCCUCAGGCUCUUGAGUAGAUGGGACUACAAGCGCCCGCUACCACGCCAGGCUAAUUUUUAUAUUUUUAGUAGAGAUGGAGUUAGUGAUCCACCCCCCUCAGGCUCCCAAAGUGCUAGGAUUACAGGCAUGAGCCACCGCGCCCGGUUGUACUAGGGUUUUCUAUUGAGUUUCUUGCCAAGGGUGACUUCCAGUAAUAACUCCCCCGCACUUUCCUCAGGACUGGAAAGCUCAGGCAGCCCAGGGUGAAUAAAAGGCUGAGUAGUGCCGUCACCACAGAGGGGCAGGGUGGCCACAAGGUGGGCAGCAGCAGGGAUGGGCAUUGUGAGGCAUUGUGUGGGGCUGUGGGGCUGGACAUUGUGAGUCACUAGCCUGACCUGGCUGUUUCCUGGUAAGCAGGUGACAUAGGAAGCUUUGUGGUUAUAGGCAUCAGCCAGGGCCAGCAACCCUCAGUCGGUAGCUGGUAGUGGAAGGAGGAGGAGCUCCGACUGUGCUGUCUCACGGCAGUUUUUGUGCCUCUCAGCGCUUGUCGUGUUCGUUUAUUUUUCAAAGAAGAUAGCAGGUCCCCGACCUCAUAGACCAGCCAGUUUGGGAGGUGGCACCAGAGUAAGGGCUGAGGCCCCAGAUCUGCCUGGGGUCAGGCUGCUUCUACAAGUGCUGUGCCAGCCUCAGUAGUGUGGCUGCUCGGGCAGCACCGUUUCAGUUUCAUCGAAGGCUCAGGCAGGAGUGGAGAGGAGUGUGGGUGCCCCAUGGGGUGUAUACUGACCUGUUGUAUCAACUCCAGCUGUAGCUGGUGCAGGGGGAAGGUGGCACCCUGUUAUGAAUCUGUUGUUUACGAGGCUGUGGCUGCUGCAACAUCAGAAUCCACUAGUGUAGAGCCUGGCAAGCUGGAUGUGGGAGCCACGGAGGGCCAUGAACUGCAGCACAUCGGCAACCAAAAGAUGCCCAUAGGCCCCCCUGAGGACUGCCUGAGUUUAAAAUCUCUACCACCAAGUGAGGAAGACAAUGAUGAUGCCCACAUUUUACCAUCACCUGUCCUGGGUACGUACCUUGAACUAACUCACUUUCUGAGACACAAACUUUCUGGCUUGAAUAUAUAGAAACCUUAAUCUGGGUUCCUGUUAAAAAAUAUUGGGGAUCUGGUGAGAGCAAAUGAUUUUGCAAGUGUAUAGCUAUGAGCAGAGGGGCUGUAGAAAUGUGUGUGAACCCAGAGGACCAACCAGGAGAUUUUGUGUGAGCCCGUGUGUCUUCACCUGGAGGAGGAGAAGUGAGUGCACCUCUCGCUGACUUAUCCUGAUGUUGGUGGUUCUAAAGAGUGGAUUCUGGAGAAUCUCAGCAGGGAAGAGGAUGCCUUUCUAGGUAGGUAAGAAGAUUUCAAGUGCGGUCUAGUAACACAGCAUUUCCAGGAGCCUUCAUGUUAUACCUGCUGCUUGGGAGGCUGAGGGAGGGUGUAGAAAGAGAAAAAGAAAAAGUAAAUGUAAGUGAAGUUUGUUCUUUUGAGUUUAUGAGAUUUUGAGUAUCCUGUGUUUUCGAUCCCCUCUUCUUAUUUAUUAUUUAAAGAUGAUCUUUCUAGAACACCUGCUCUUUCCUGCCUCUGACACUGCAAAAUCUCAAAGCCUUUAGUUUAGGACAGAGUUCUAUCGCAGGCAGUUACUUAAUGCUGGAGACAGAAUUCUUCUGUGGUGUGCCCAGAUGCAUAGGAGAGAUUGAUCCUCACCUUAUGAACUGUUAGGUUUCCUGGCAGCACACUCAUUUGUCUGUUUUUCCCUGCUUACCUCUGGUAUCAAGAGCUCUUCCUCGGCAUGGAGGACAGAAUGAAAAUUCAAUCUGGGCUCAGUGCAAAAGCUCCAGUGUCUCGUGGAAAUGGAGGGAGAAGCACAACCUUGAGCACACUGUCAGCAUUCUAUUUCUUCAUUUGAAUGAGAAUAUGCAGUUUUACCAUCAUUUGUUCAAGAGGGUUUCCUUUCCCCAUUGUGUAUUUUUGACACGUUUGUUGAAGAUCAGUUUACUGUAUGUGUGUUCAUUCAAUUCUGGGCUCUCUAUAUCUGUGAAACUUAUGAGUGCCCCUACGCUAGAAACAUACUCUCUGUAUUUCUGUAUUUUGUGUGUGUGUGUGUGUGUGUGUGUGUGUGUGUGUGUAUUUCAAUCUCAUGAACCUGCAUCCUCUAACACAAUUUUUUUAAUGUCAUCAUGGUUACAUAAGGCACAUAAAAUUCAUUAAAAUUGUAGGAUUAUCUUUUCCAUUUCUCCACUGAUGGGUGUUACCAGUUUGAUAGUAAUUGUUGUGAGUCUGUAGAUCAUUGUGUAGUAUUGUGUGUUAGUCAGGUUUAGUCUUCCUAUCCAUGAAUACAGGAUGCCUUUCCACUUAUUUGUACCUUCCUUAUUU
Molecule: long non-coding RNA, 2503 nt
Organism: Macaca nemestrina (pig-tailed macaque)
Lineage: Eukaryota; Metazoa; Chordata; Mammalia; Primates; Cercopithecidae
Source: Ensembl